Molecule: ribosomal RNA, 464 nt
Filed under: uncultured bacterium
Lineage: Bacteria
Description: partial 16S ribosomal RNA
Rfam family: Bacterial small subunit ribosomal RNA
Source: RNAcentral
CCUACGGGGGGCAGCAGUAGGGAAUUUUCGUCAAUGGGCGCAAGCCUGAACGAGCAAUGCCGCGUGAACGAGGAAGGUCUUCGGAUCGUAAAGUUCUGUUGAAGGGGAAAAAGAGCGGAGAGAGGAAAUGGUCUCCGAUUGAUAUUACCCUUCGAGGAAGUCACGGCUAACUACGUGCCAGCAGCCGCGGUAAUACGUAGGUGGCGAGCGUUAUCCGGAAUGAUUGGGCGUAAAGGGGGCGUAGGCGGCCUGCUAAGUCUGGAGUGAAAGGUACCGGCUCAACCGGUACAGGCUGGUGAAACUGGCGGGCUAGAGAGCAGGAGAGGGCGGUGGAACUCCAUGUGUAGCGGUAAAAUGCGUAGAUAUAUGGAAGAACACCAGUGGCGAAGGCGGCCGCCUGGCCUGUUACUGACGCUGAGGCACGAAAGCGUGGGGAGCAAAUAGGAUUAGAUACCCCUGUAGUC